GAAGCUAUGGUGUAGUCCGCGGCUAUGGUUUUAUGGUACAUAUUUUUACUGUGCUCGAUUCGAACUGCGAGAUCCGAGCUUUGCGAAGAUAAGAAAAAAAAUAUCUACAUUUCUUUUUGAGGCAGCCACCGACUGGUUUUCAAAGAGAUGGUUCUUGAGGAUUCAGAAAGAACGCAGCGAUUUUUCCAAUCAUCGGUUUCAGAGAGAAUUUUUGAGCUAUUCCAUCACCAUCAAACAAGAACCACCAGUCUCUGUUAUCUCUGUUGUCAGGUCAUUGCAAUUAUAUAAAAUUCCAUCAGAGAGAUCAGAGGGAAUCCGAUUUUAGAGUGUCAUCGCCCAACAGAGAAUAAACCACACAAGCAAAAAGAAAUUUUUCCUGCUCUUGGCUCAUCGGCAGUUCUUGGGUUCGACGCCUAGACUCGUUCCUCACUGCAAAUCUCAGUAGAGGGAGCACACAUCUCAUCAUAGCCAAGACGAAAGGAAGAAAAACACCCAGCAAACAAAGGGAGAGGGAGAAG
This 518-nucleotide long non-coding RNA is filed under the name Selaginella moellendorffii. Its description in RNAcentral is "long non-coding RNA (SMOE_LNC001134)". The record is from RNAcentral. Lineage: Eukaryota; Viridiplantae; Streptophyta; Lycopodiopsida; Selaginellales; Selaginellaceae.